Carassius auratus (goldfish) is the source of this 1510-nucleotide long non-coding RNA. RefSeq lists it as uncharacterized. The record is from RefSeq and is a predicted model, not a curated record. The transcript has 5 exons. Lineage: Eukaryota; Metazoa; Chordata; Actinopteri; Cypriniformes; Cyprinidae.
GUCCACGAAGUGUCAAGGGCGCGCAUAUUACCACCGGCUGGCCACAGGAGGGCGCCAUUACCUUUAAAAACUACAGUAUGCGAUACAGAGACAACACGCCCAUAGACCUCAAUAAUCUCCACAUAAACAUUAAGCCAGGGGAAAAGGUCGCAUUGUGGGACCCAAUGGCUCUGGGAAGUCCCCUCUGGGUGUGGCAUUGCUCCGUUUGGCCAAGCCGGCCGAGGUGAUGUGGACAUCUGCAAACUGGGGUUGAGAGAUCUUCGCAACUCUCUGUCAUACCACAGGAUCCUGUACUCUUCAUCAGCACUGUCAGGUGACCUCUCGACUUUUUAUUUUAUUCACAAUAGGUACUCAUUUCACCAGUGCAUCACCUCAAUGAAUUGUGUUUUUGUCUGAAAAUGACUUGAAACUGAAACGGGCAACAGCCAUUGUGAGCUUAUUAAUUUGCAAUUACAAAAAGUUGCAAUUUUGAAAAGUAAAUUAGCAAUUAUCUUUACAAUUACAACCUUAAUCUAAAAUUUUCUAACAAUUUUUGUAUAUUGUAAUCUUGUCAAUUUUGUGGUCAAUAUAGAAAUAGUCACUAUAGUUGGCAUGAACCAGAAAUUGUGACUGAGGUAUAUCAAAGUAAAAUGGCUUCUCAGAUGAAAAAAGAUAGCGCUUGAUUUUGUCCAUCUGGAAUUUAUUUGGAUUGUUGUUGUUUGCUAAUUUCUCUGACCUUUUCAUGUGAGUGACAUGGUUGCUGGACGAGAGCGAUUGAAACUUAUCUGGAUAUUGGACAACUUUUUUGCCCAGCCCUCGCUCCAGUAUACACCUCAUCAGAGAAGAGCAGUGUUACUCUCAGAAAAAAAGAUUGCUAAGAUGCCGGAGAAGUUGCACUCUCCAGUAGUGGAGAAUGGAGAGUAUUUCUCUGUCGGAGAGCGGCAGCUCAUGUGUAUGGCCAGAGCACUGCUUCGCAAUUCAAUAAAUCAACACGGUUUUGGAGAGUGACUGCAUACAAAGUGCUUGAGUUUGAUCGUCCACAGGACCUGGUACAGAGGCCGAACUCUUUAUUUGCAUCACUUCUAGCAGCAGCUAAUCAAGUGAACUCAUGAAGCACUCAGAAACAUUUACAUACUCCUGUAGCCCUGCACCCUGCUGCACAAUUAAACAGCAGAGUCUGCGCCAGAGGAUACAAUAUGGGUGGCAUUUGAUACACAGAACUUUCAAACAUUUAAAAGUAAAUACACAUUGCACUUCUUCAUUUGAAUUUCACAUUCUUAUUGUAAUUUUCCUUGUACAACUUCAGAUGGUUCUGCACAUUUAUGCCGUGUGCUUUUUAUGUCAACUGUGUUAUUUAUAUUUUGUAUCAUACCAUAAAUGAGACUGGAUUUACAAAGCUCUUUACUUGUAGCUGCAGCACUUACAGACUAUGCUUAAAAUUUUCACUGAUUUUUCAUAGGUUCAUCAAAUGUAUAUAUAGUAUUUAUGAUUUUUGUAUGAAAUGGAUAUUAUAUCAAAGGACAACACAUGC